This 502-nucleotide long non-coding RNA is filed under the name Cavia porcellus (domestic guinea pig). RNAcentral describes it as "lncRNA (ENSCPOG00000033155.1)". The record is from RNAcentral. Lineage: Eukaryota; Metazoa; Chordata; Mammalia; Rodentia; Caviidae.
UUACCCAUAGCAUGCAUUUUGGUACCAUCAUGAUCUCCCCCUUUCUUCCUCUUCUCUGUUCUCCACAGGAUGUGAAGUGCUGACAAAACUUGACUUGACUGUGAAUUUCGUUGGGGAGCUGAGCAGCAUUAAAAGCCUGAAACACAACAUCCACCUGAAGGAGCUCUUCCUCAUGGGUAACCCGUGUGCUGACUUCGAUGGCUACAGGCAGUUCGUGGUGGCCACACUUGAGCAGUUACAGCCCAUCUUCGUCAGAGAACAAAGAACAAGUCCAGCUACCAGAAAUACAAGAAGAUGCACGCAGCACAAAGAAAUUGAAUGGAAGUGAAGAUGACCUGGAAUUCUGGAACAAACCCUCUCUGUAUACUCCGGAAUCUAGACUGGAAACUCUCAGACAUGUGGAAAAGCAACGGAAAGAACAAGAAAAAUUAAGGUAUCAUAUAUAUUCCCAUCAUCAAGAAUGGGACAGUACUCUGAAGGACUGCAUUUUCAUGAUUGUAGA